AUUGAACGCUGGCGGCAGGCCUAACACAUGCAAGUCGAGCGGAUGAAGGGAGCUUGCUCCUGGAUUCAGCGGCGGACGGGUGAGUAAUGCCUAGGAAUCUGCCUGGUAGUGGGGGAUAACGUCCGGAAACGGGCGCUAAUACCGCAUACGUCCUGAGGGAGAAAGUGGGGGAUCUUCGGACCUCACGCUAUCAGAUGAGCCUAGGUCGGAUUAGCUAGUUGGUGGGGUAAAGGCCUACCAAGGCGACGAUCCGUAACUGGUCUGAGAGGAUGAUCAGUCACACUGGAACUGAGACACGGUCCAGACACCGACGGGAGGCAGCAGUGGGGAAUAUUGGACAAUGGGCGAAAGCCUGAUCCAGCCAUGCCGCGUGUGUGAAGAAGGUCUUCGGAUUGUAAAGCACUUUAAGUUGGGAGGAAGGGCAGUAAGUUAAUACCUUGCUGUUUUGACGUUACCAACAGAAUAAGCACCGGCUAACUUCGU
This 483-nucleotide ribosomal RNA is filed under the name uncultured bacterium. RNAcentral describes it as "partial 16S ribosomal RNA". It matches the Rfam family "Bacterial small subunit ribosomal RNA", at positions 30 to 506 of the family's 1533-position model. The record is from RNAcentral.